RNAcentral lists this ribosomal RNA (282 nucleotides) under Staphylococcus sp. At-S3. Its description in RNAcentral is "partial 16S ribosomal RNA". It matches the Rfam family "Bacterial small subunit ribosomal RNA", at positions 55 to 326 of the family's 1533-position model. The record is from RNAcentral. Lineage: Bacteria; Bacillati; Bacillota; Bacilli; Caryophanales; Staphylococcaceae.
AUGCAAGUCGAGCGAACAGACGAGGAGCUUGCUCCUCUGACGUUAGCGGCGGACGGGUGAGUAACACGUGGAUAACCUACCUAUAGGACUGGGAUAACUUCGGGAAACCGGAGCUAAUACCGGAUAAUAUAUUGAACCGCAUGGUUCAAUAGUGAAAGACGGUUUUGCUGUCACUUAUAGAUGGAUCCGCGCCGCAUUAGCUAGUUGGUAAGGUAACGGCUUACCAAGGCAACGAUGCGUAGCCGACCUGAGAGGGUGAUCGGCCACACUGGAACUGAGACA